RNAcentral lists this ribosomal RNA (325 nucleotides) under Pandalina brevirostris. RNAcentral describes it as "partial large subunit ribosomal RNA". It matches the Rfam family "Eukaryotic large subunit ribosomal RNA", at positions 29 to 321 of the family's 3401-position model. The record is from RNAcentral. Lineage: Eukaryota; Metazoa; Arthropoda; Malacostraca; Decapoda; Pandalidae.
UGAAUUUAAGCAUAUUAAUAAGCGGAGGAAAAGAAACCAACCGGGAUUCCCCGAGUAAGGGCGACUGAAACGGGACCAGCCCAGCGCAUAACCUCGCGGCCGGUCACGGCCGUCGAGGGGUGUUGCGUACAGGUGGGUCCGCACCGCCCGUGCCACCUACCGCUUAAGUCGUUGCUUAAAAGCAGCCCACAGCAGGGUGAAAGGCCCGUGUGGCGGCGCCUGUGAAAAGGGUUUAGGCGGCGCGGGCGGAGGGACCUUCACCGGAGAGUCGGGUUGCUUAGUACUGCAGCCCAAAGCAGGUGGUAAACUCCAUCUAAGGCUAAAU